UCAGCCUUGCAUACUCAGCUGUGAGCACAGACAGCUCACUAUGGAGUUGGCAAUAAGAUUGGCUUUCCUUCUUGUCUGUUUUAAAGGUGUCCAGGCUGAGGUGCAGCUAGUGGAGUCCGGAGGAGGCUUGGUGCAGCCUGGCGGGUCCCUGAGACUCUCCUGUGCAGCCUCUGGGUUCACCUUCAGUAGCCACUACAUGAGCUGGGUUCGCCAGGCCCCAGGGAAGGGGCUGGACUGGGUCUCAGCAAUUAGCUCUGAUGGUAGUAGCACAUACUACGCAGCCUCCGUGAAGGGCCGAUUCACCGUCUCCAGAGACAACGGCAAGAACGCGCUGUAUCUGCAAAUGAGCAGCCUGAGAACCGAGGACACGGCCGUGUAUUACUGUGCGAGAGACACAGUGAGAGAACAUCACUUUGAGCCCGCACACAAACCUCCCUGCAUGUGCGCUCAGGACCAGCAGGGGGAGCGCGAGACACAGUUCAGAAUACUCCAGAGCACAUUUGAAGUCCUGGUGAAGCUCAGGGAACCUGGUCACAGACUGGAUGGAAACUGGAUCCGUGGUGAGGGGCAGUCGGUAUGA
Octodon degus (degu) is the source of this 580-nucleotide non-coding RNA. The record is from the annotation of a RefSeq genome assembly. Lineage: Eukaryota; Metazoa; Chordata; Mammalia; Rodentia; Octodontidae.